GAGAACCGAGAGGCGCCUCCUAGGAGGCGGGUGGGCAAACGGAGACCUACGCCUCGGGGUCUCCCGGUGCCCCGGCUGGGUCCCGCCCGCCGGCGGAGGGGCGCGUCCUCACUCACCGGUUCCGGUGGCGCCGCUCUCCCGGGGCGCCCAGCACAGCGCGAGCAGCAGCCAGAGCGCCCAGAGCGCGGACGUGCCCAUGGUGCCCGCCUGGAUGGUGCCGCCGCCGCCGCCGCCGCCGCCGUUCGCUCCGCACGACAAGUUACCAGUCCUUCCGAAAGGAGGAAGAAGGUGGGGGCGGGGAGGGGAAAGGGGGAGAAGGAGGGGAAGGAGUUGGCGGGGGAAGGGAGCGGGGAAGAAGAGGGCACCCCCUCCCCUACAACUUGCACAGUCUCCUCCCCACCCACCCAGCCACCUCCCCGGGCUGCAGCAGCAGUGCAAGCCGAGCCUGCGGGCAGAAAAUAAUGCAGGCGCUGCAGAGGAGGGGAGGCAAGGGGAGAGGAGGGAAGGGAGAGGGGGUGGGGAGCCGAGAGCAGAAGAGAGCACAGAACGGAGAGGAGCCGGUAGCGGAGCACCCGCACCGGCGGCGGCCGGAGAGCGGGGUGAGCAGCGGGGAGGGGGCCGGAGGGGGCGUGGUCAACGGGAGGCGCGGCGGGCGGGCGGGAGCGCGGCGGCUUCGGCCCUCCUUUCCCUCGACGCGCUCCUCUUGCACGCGCCGGGCAGCCGGGUGCCCGCGCGGGGAGCGUGCGAGUGUGAGCGUGCGUGAGUGACCGCGGUCGUGGUCGUGGCUGCCGCCGCCGCCACCCGGACCGCUCUAGGGGCCCGGCUGCUCCGCGCGUUCGCCUGGGGCUCACGGGGGCCCGGGGCGACCGCUGGUUGGCUCGCGCGCCGCCCUCGCCUCCAAUCCCGGGUGCCUGUCCUAAUUUCCUGAUCCAGGGAACCUGCCGCCGCAGCGGCUGUGCGCUCCCUACAGUCAUUACUGUACCCUCCCGGCAGCCUCCGGCAGAACACGCAGCAGCAGCAGCAGUUAGCGCUGAUGCAACUAUCGUUGCUGUUGCCACCGCCUCCCCACUGACGGGGCGUGCACCUGGGGGGUACUUGCAGUUUCCAGGGGCAACAAGCAUCUCUCUACCACCCUCUCCUGCGCCCCUGAGAGAGGCUGGCUCCAAGCUUGAUAUAGAAGACUAUCAUAUGAACCAGAAAGGGUAACUGAAACCAAAGAAAUGACUCCAGUAUCAAGCUAAAGACAUGCCUUAAAGGAUGAGGAGGAGCAGAAAUCUUACCAGCAAGGCAAGAAAGAAGCCCCUCUGCUUUAGGCCCAGAAGGAAAAGAAGCUUACAGGAGACAAUCAGUCUUACACUCUUCCAUGGUCACAAACAAGAGGUCCCUGGAUCUACAGGUCAUCUUGCCCCUGAAAUGGCCCUGGAAAGCUAUGGCUGAAGAAUGGAGGAAAAGAUGACUUUCUCUGUUUCUUCAGACCAGGCAUCAACUGGGAUGUUGGGAUGUUGAUAAAAGGACAUCUCAUCCUUUGUUUUCUGCCUAUGCUUUCACCAUACCCAUUCCCAUGUCUGGUCAUCACAGCAUCCUUCACAGCCCUUAGCUGAAUCAUGUUGAGUACAGGAUGGUGUGAAUAUCAUGGUUUGAAUGCAACCAUGGUCUGUCAGUGUGGCUUGUUUUUUGCAGCCCACUUAGACUUAAGCCCUCUUAAUUUCAAAAUUACGUUCAUAUGUGCCAAUAAAGUUGUCCCUACAUGAACUGAAAAA
This 1760-nucleotide long non-coding RNA is filed under the name Homo sapiens (human). RNAcentral's name for it is "non-protein coding VLDLR-AS1:17". Lineage: Eukaryota; Metazoa; Chordata; Mammalia; Primates; Hominidae. The record is from RNAcentral.